This is a non-coding RNA of Paramisgurnus dabryanus, 460 nucleotides long. The record is from RefSeq and is a predicted model, not a curated record. NCBI's taxonomy places the organism in Eukaryota, Metazoa, Chordata, Actinopteri, Cypriniformes, Cobitidae.
ACAUCACAAGGUUUUAUCCAAGAAAUAAAUCUAUCCAAUACUUUAUUUGUAACAAACAUUCUAAAGUGUAACAAACUUUGUUUUUACUUCACAAUUGAAACCUUUUCCAGCCUUACUGUAACAUUUCAUGUUGGUCUUACAGGAGAUUCCAACCCAAUAAGGGACCGCUCCAUCAUUUCCAGGCCCAAAGCACACCAUAGAAGUAACCGAAGUCACUCCACUUCUUCUUCAAGACAUGGAGAUUCCAGCCCAAUAAGGGACCGCUCCAUCACUUCCAGGGACAAAUCACACCAUGGAAGUGACAAAAUGCACUCCACUUCUUCUUCAAGACAUGAGCGUUUCAACCACAUAAGGGAGCACUCCAUCACUUCCAGUCACAGAAGUGGAGCUCCUGGGUGUUCUUCUUUAGAUUUUCGAUCACCCAUGAGGUCAUCUCCUGGGGGUUCUUCUUCAGGACGUG